This 762-nucleotide ribosomal RNA is filed under the name Micromonospora coxensis. Its description in RNAcentral is "bacterial SSU rRNA". It matches the Rfam family "Bacterial small subunit ribosomal RNA", at positions 38 to 817 of the family's 1533-position model. Lineage: Bacteria; Bacillati; Actinomycetota; Actinomycetes; Micromonosporales; Micromonosporaceae. The record is from RNAcentral.
GGCCAGUCGGGUCUUACCAUGCAGUCGAGCGGAAGGCCCUUCGGGGUACUCGAGCGGCGAACGGGUGAGUAACACGUGAGCAACCUGCCCCAGGCUUUGGGAUAACCCCGGGAAACCGGGGCUAAUACCGAAUAUGACCUCCGAUCGCAUGGUUGGUGGUGGAAAGUUUUUCGGCUUGGGAUGGGCUCGCGGCCUAUCAGCUUGUUGGUGGGGUGAUGGCCUACCAAGGCGACGACGGGUAGCCGGCCUGAGAGGGCGACCGGCCACACUGGGACUGAGACACGGCCCAGACUCCUACGGGAGGCAGCAGUGGGGAAUAUUGCACAAUGGGCGGAAGCCUGAUGCAGCGACGCCGCGUGAGGGAUGACGGCCUUCGGGUUGUAAACCUCUUUCAGCAGGGACGAAGCGUAAGUGACGGUACCUGCAGAAGAAGCGCCGGCCAACUACGUGCCAGCAGCCGCGGUAAGACGUAGGGCGCGAGCGUUGUCCGGAUUUAUUGGGCGUAAAGAGCUCGUAGGCGGCUUGUCGCGUCGACCGUGAAAACCUGGGGCUCAACCCCAGGCCUGCGGUCGAUACGGGCAGGCUAGAGUUCGGUAGGGGAGACUGGAAUUCCUGGUGUAGCGGUGAAAUGCGCAGAUAUCAGGAGGAACACCGGUGGCGAAGGCGGGUCUCUGGGGCCGAUACUGACGCUGAGGAGCGAAAGCGUGGGGAGCGAACAGGAUUAGAUACCCUGGUGUCCACGCCUGUAAACCUUUGGGCGCU